ACGGUGAGAGGUUUUUGUACGGCGACUCGAUCAGUUUGUAUCACUGUGGUGGACUUUUGGUGGAGGAACCAGGCUGGAUGUUGGAAGUGAUGUCCGUCCCACCCUGAUGGUGCUGCCCCCCUCCAGCGAGGAGCUGCAGCAGGGGAGGGCCACGCUCAUGUGUCUGGCCAACAAGGGCUUCCCCUCGGACUGGAGUCUGUCCUGGAAGGUGGACGGCAGCAGCGGCGGCAGCUGGGACGAGAGCAGGAGUCCCGGCGUGCUGGACAAGGACGGCCGCUACAGCUGGAGCAGCACCCUGAGGCUCCCUGCAGACCAGUGGAGGAAGGUGGGCUCUGUGACCUGUGAGGCCACCCAGGGCUCCCAGACUCCGCUGUCAGAGACACUGACCAGAGACCAGUGUUCCCAGUCCUGAGCUGCCUCGCUGGGACUCCGCUGCUGGUUUUCGUCUGCUGCUGCUCUCACUCUGCACUCAGGAACUUUCUCUGUCUUUGAUUUCACAGCUUUCGGCAGCAGCAUCUACCAGCUUGUUGCAAAGUUUCAAUAUUGUUUCACCGUUUCCACGUAAUAAAGACGUCUUCAUCCAA
Plectropomus leopardus (leopard coralgrouper) is the source of this 584-nucleotide non-coding RNA. Lineage: Eukaryota; Metazoa; Chordata; Actinopteri; Perciformes; Serranidae. The record is from the annotation of a RefSeq genome assembly.